Long non-coding RNA from Crotalus tigris (Tiger rattlesnake), 3421 nucleotides. RefSeq lists it as uncharacterized. The transcript is spliced from 2 exons. NCBI's taxonomy places the organism in Eukaryota, Metazoa, Chordata, Lepidosauria, Squamata, Viperidae. The record is from RefSeq and is a predicted model, not a curated record.
CACUUUGGCCUGAAAUCCUAUUUUGGCAUUCCCACCUUUGUAUUGCCAGGCUGGCUGCCAUGGUUCACUCACUCAGGAACUUCCCUAGGAGAAAGGGAGGGCACCAGGGGAAGGACACGCACCUCAGCAAGCACCUCCAAGCCUCCAACCCACAGCAGAAGCAGUUUCUGAGUAAGGGCUCCUCCAGUACAGCCUAGCCUUGGAGUAGGGAGCCCUCUUGAUGUUCAGUCAAGCCCAGGCUGCCUCUGGCUAUAAGCGAUCCUUUCCCAGGCCAGCACGAAUGCUCUCCUCUUGAUUGAUUGGUAAUACGGCAGUGAGAAAUCUCACUGGAUUCCUCUGGGACCCACUCCAUCACAACAGACCAAAGGCCACCCCCCCCCAGAAGUGGAUUGAGGCUGUUGUAAAUGUGUUUCUAAAAAGCUGAGAUACAACCAAAACCAAUACCAGGAAGGCAAGCGGGGUACCCAUCUCUGCAGCUGCCAUUGGGGAAGCAAUGGGUUAGAUCAGCAGGGCUCCCCCCAAUUAUGCAGGUGCCCUGCCACUGCCCCCAUGUGCAAGGAGGAAAGGGCUUCCCAUGACAGAGGGCUGCACCCAAAAGCUGCACAUUGACCAAGGCCGGGAGAGUGAAUCACCUGGGGGGGGGGAUUGACUAUUUCUCUUCUAGGUAGCCCCUCCAGGGAUGCCCAACGGGCCUCCUGUGCCUGCUGGUAUCUCAUUCUUGGAAUUAGGCAGGCUCGCUCUCCAGGCCACGCAUGACCUGCCCAAGGCCAAGGUUUGGCCAGCCCAAGACCUCUUUGGUGGCCAUGCCUAGGCUGCCCUUCUGAGCAAAACAGACCAGUGCUAUCCAAAACCAUCUCCUGCAGGCCUGAUUCUGGUCAAACUUACAGCAGCAGCUAUUGUCUUUUGGGAGAAGGGUCUCCUGGCCUCAACUGUUGGGACAAGCAGACCACUUUCAUCUUCUCAGCCAGGCCCUCCCCCAAGCAUUUAGGCUGAUGGUUCUUCCAAGGUCAGUUUUCUCUGACCCUUUCCCCACCACUCCUCAUCCCUGCCAAGCAUCCUACUGUGGCUGGAAAGCUAUGAAUGGUAACUUGGUUGACUGCGCCCUUCUGCCUCACAAUGGGAAUAUCUGAAAUAAUUCCAUACCAAAGUAAGCUGGGUGGCAACCUUUAAAAUCACUGCAUCAUUUAAUGCCAGCAGUACAACGAUCAGAGUCUUGAGUCUGGACAUUGUUGGAAGACGCAUGUGUGAUUAAAAAAAAAAAGCAAACAGCCAUGCAACCAAAAAUCACUGUAAAAAUACCAGUACAAUAUAUACAAAUCCCUUUUCAAAUAAUAUCUACAUUUUAUAGCAUUUUAUAAAGCACUGGCAAAUUUCAUUGAUAACCAAGAUUUGGGUCUAAGUGAAUGGAUCUUGAUUUACAAAAGUCAGAUUGUACAAAUAUCACAGAGCAUCUAUGUCCCUAGGCAGGUUCACAAGACAGAAUACUUCACAAAGAGCACAUUCCUUGACAAGCUGUUCAUUGGUUCCAGGAUCAGGAUGGCUUCUCCACAGGGACUUGCCCACUCCGGACAAGUUUCAAAAGGUUCCUUGGAAAUCUUCUCCAGCCCUUCUCCAUUUCUGGACUUCAAUGUGUUUGCAUACAAAGCCUCCCCAGGUAAGUGGCUGAAAACUGGCAAAGCAGGAAACCAGCUUGGCUUUCCAAGAAAGCUAGCUUGCAUUUGUACCAAAAGGACAUAACUUUCUCUCCCUUCCCAGCGAGUUCUACACUGUGUUACAUUCCCUGGGCAAAAAAAGGAAGAGUAGGAAUCACCAAGGCAGAGAGAGAAAAACAAUACACUGCAAAAUGUUUUGACACCCCCCCUCCCCACCAAUCCAUUUCAGAUUAAACACUGCUAAACCUGGGCAUGAACCCUGCUCCUGUCAGUCACGCCCUGCAGUCUGUCAAGCUGCAAAGCCCCAAGCUGCCAAAGGAUUCUUAUCCCUUGGUUUCUAACAGAGCCAGCAGCCCUUCUACAUGCACUUCACAGAGAAGCCGCAAUCCUGGGCUGCUCAUUUGCUCUGUGGGGAAGGCGCAUCCCUCGGGCAGAAAAGAGGCUGCCUCAGCCCCAACAGGCCCACGUAGCUCAGCCCGUUGCUGAGAGGACCAAGAGCCGUAUGGUGGAAUCUCCAAAUUGCCUGCCUCAAGAGCACACCAGCGCACACAGAUGCUCAUCCUUCAGGCGGUUCUUGCCAGGCUGGAUCAGGGCAAAAGGUCAGUGCUUUUAACUCCAAAACAGCUGACCAAGAGAGGGCAGGGGGAGAGAUGAAGCAGCCUUUUGAAGACUAACAGGUGCAACUUACUUCUCUGCAUUUGAGAAGAGACCAAAUCCAUCAGUUACAAGUACCGGAAAGACAGAAACAAGCCGAGGGGCUUCCAGCUCUGUUCAGCAAUUCUGGAUAGACCAAAUUUGUGGGGUUACUCUUGCUUGUUACAAAAAGGGCCCUUCAUCCACAGCAACCUCCCCCCCCAUUGUCUAGUCUGGUUUUUAAGGGAACGGGCUCUGUGCCAGGGCUUUCUGGGAUGCCAGAAGGUCAUGGCUGCCCCUGCACAGAAGAUCGUGGAAACAAAUGUUCCUUUGCGGGAAUGACAAACCUCUCGUUUCUGAACACCGGGGUUCCAUUUGCUUUUUAGAGGAGUGCAGGAGACAUACAAGCAAAUUAGUGUUAUUAAUAAUUUAAUUUCAAUACUACAAACUCUGUUUUGGUAGAAGGCAUCACUUCUUCAAGAGGCCGCCCACCAGAGACAGAAACAGCCUGUUAUAGCCUGGCUGCAUCGUAUCCGAAUCCGGCAACCCAAGAAAACGGCAGAAAGAUAUUUAAAACAAAAUUCAAUAGAGUUACAAAAAUAAUUCAUCAUGGUUACUUCUCCAUAAUAAUUUUUGCUGUGCUAGAUUUUUUUUAAAAAAAGGCUAUGAUACACAUAUAUUGUUACAGUUUAGAAACAAAGAUAGAUAUAUUCUACAGAUCAGCAUGGCUGACAGUUUCACCCCUUCGUAGGGCACACUAAGAAACUGACAUAUCCUUUCAUCCUCUAUUCGACAGACAAUAAAUACCUGAAGAGGAGAAGCGGAGGGGGGGGGGAAUGGAGACAUGGCCCAGCCACUGUGCAAAGGAGGAGGGAAGGGCUGGCAGAACCAGCUAGAGCAGGAUUGAAGACACUGAAGGAUUCCGAGUGGACCUCAGAUCAAUCCGCAACGGAAGCCGGAAGGGCCAUGACACAAUACUGCCUGGGGUGGCUCAGGACCCCUGUGACUUUCCUACACGGUCGCUUGGAGAUUACACUCAGCAAAGCUCAAAAAGAUGGCGGUACACAGUCAAUGGCAAUUCAUGGAAUUUUUAAAAAGUGAAGAACACUGCUGCUGCUUUCGGACACAAGGCUGCA